UACGAAGGGGGCUAGCGUUGCUCGGAAUCACUGGGCGUAAAGCGCACGUAGGCGGAUUGUUAAGUCAGGGGUGAAAUCCUGGAGCUCAACUCCAGAACUGCCUUUGAUACUGGCGAUCUUGAGUCCGGGAGAGGUGAGUGGAACUGCGAGUGUAGAGGUGAAAUUCGUAGAUAUUCGCAAGAACACCAGUGGCGAAGGCGGCUUACUGGCCCGGUACUGACGCUGAGGUGCGAAAGCGUGGGGAGCAAACAGG
RNAcentral lists this ribosomal RNA (253 nucleotides) under uncultured bacterium. RNAcentral's name for it is "partial 16S ribosomal RNA". It matches the Rfam family "Bacterial small subunit ribosomal RNA", at positions 524 to 776 of the family's 1533-position model. The record is from RNAcentral.